This 460-nucleotide ribosomal RNA is filed under the name uncultured bacterium. Its description in RNAcentral is "bacterial SSU rRNA". It matches the Rfam family "Bacterial small subunit ribosomal RNA", at positions 341 to 793 of the family's 1533-position model. The record is from RNAcentral.
CGGGGAGGCAGCAGUAGGGAAUCUUCCACAAUGGGCGCAAGCCUGAUGGAGCAACACCGCGUGAGUGAAGAAGGGUUUCGGCUCGUAAAGCUCUGUUGUUAAAGAAGAACACGUAUGAGAGUAACUGUUCAUACGUUGACGGUAUUUAACCAGAAAGUCACGGCUAACUACGUGCCAGCAGCCGCGGUAAUACGUAGGUGGCAAGCGUUAUCCGGAUUUAUUGGGCGUAAAGAGAGUGCAGGCGGUUUUCUAAGUCUGAUGUGAAAGCCUUCGGCUUAACCGGAGAAGUGCAUCGGAAACUGGAUAACUUGAGUGCAGAAGAGGGUAGUGGAACUCCAUGUGUAGCGGUGGAAUGCGUAGAUAUAUGGAAGAACACCAGUGGCGAAGGCGGCUACCUGGUCUGCAACUGACGCUGAGACUCGAAAGCAUGGGUAGCGAACAGGAUUAGAUACCCUGGUAG